GACGAACGCUGGCGGCGUGCCUAAUACAUGCAAGUAGAACGCUGAAGGAGGAGCUUGCUCUUCUGGAUGAGUUGCGAACGGGUGAGUAACGCGUAGGUAACCUGCCUGGUAGCGGGGGAUAACUAUUGGAAACGAUAGCUAAUACCGCAUAAGAGUAGAUGUUGCAUGACAUUUACUUAAAAGUUGCAAUUGCAUCACUACCAGAUGGACCUGCGAUGUAUUAGCUAGUUGGUGGGGUAACGGCUUACCAAGGCGACGAUACAUAGCCGACCUGAGAGGGUGAACGGCCACACUGAGACUGAGACACGGCCCAGACGUCUACGGGAAGCAGCAGUAGGGAAUCUUCGGAAAUGGACGGAAGUCUGACCGAGCAACGCCGCGUGAGUGAAGAAGGAUGUCGGAUCGUAAAGCUCUGUUGUAAGAGAAGAACGAGUGUGAGAGUGGAAAGUUCACACUGUGACGGUAGCUUACCAGAAAGGGACGGCUAACUACGUG
This 495-nucleotide ribosomal RNA is filed under the name uncultured bacterium. Its description in RNAcentral is "partial 16S ribosomal RNA". It matches the Rfam family "Bacterial small subunit ribosomal RNA", at positions 28 to 507 of the family's 1533-position model. The record is from RNAcentral.